GGCGAACGGGUGAGUAACGCGUUUGUAACCUACCCCUGACAGGGGGAUAGCUCCCGGAAACGGGAAUUAAUACCCCAUAACAUUCAUUGAGGGCAUCCUUAAUGAAUUAAAGCUCCGGCGGUCAGGGAUGGGCAUGCGUGGUAUUAGCUAGUUGGUGAGGUAACGGCUCACCAAGGCUACGAUAUCUAGGGGGUCUGAGAGGAUGAUCCCCCACACUGGUACUGAGACACGGACCAGACUCCUACGGGAGGCAGCAGUGAGGAAUAUUGGGCAAUGGACGCAAGUCUGACCCAGCCAUGCCGCGUGCAGGAUGAAGGCCCUAUGGGUUGUAAACUGCUUUUGUACAGGAGGAAAUCCCUGAACGAGUUUCAGGGUUGACAGUACUGUGCGAAUAAGCAUCGGCUAACUCCGUGCCAGCAGCCGCGGUAAUACGGAGGAUGCAAGCGUUAUCCGGAUUUAUUGGGUUUGAAGGGUGCGUAGGCGGGAUAAUAAGUCAGAGGUGAAAUCUCCCGGCUUAACCGGGAAACUGUCUUUGAUACUGUUAUCCUUGAGUAUAGUUGAGGUGGGCGGAAUGUGUAAUGUAGCGGUGAAAUGCAUAGAUAUUACACAGAACACCGAUUGCGAAGGCAGCUCACUAAACUAAAACUGACGCUGAGGCACGAAAGCGUGGGUAGCGAACAGGAUUAGAUACCCUGGUAGUCUACGCCGUAAACGAUGAAUACUCGAUGUGUGCGACAUAUUGUACGCGUCUGAGCGAAAGCAUUAAGUAUUUCCACCUGGGGAGUACGAUCGCAAGA
This 797-nucleotide ribosomal RNA is filed under the name uncultured bacterium. Its description in RNAcentral is "bacterial SSU rRNA". It matches the Rfam family "Bacterial small subunit ribosomal RNA", at positions 97 to 893 of the family's 1533-position model. The record is from RNAcentral.